GUCCUGAGCCUGGUUCUGCUGGAGGUUUCUUCCUGUUAAUAGGUGGAUUACCAAGAUCACAGAAGCCACACCUCAUGCUAAGAAGUCCUCACUUCAAGUUGGGUCAGAAAACAAAGAAGCUCACCACGGAGCACUCACAGCCACUCUGCCUGAAGAACUGCCACCUGCCUUUGAAAACCUCCUCCUUUGGAUCUCCUCGCCUCUGGAAAAUCUCUGAUGUCCAAAACCAAAAACUCCACCUGUAAAUAAAACUGCACUUAUCUUUUUAUUUGUUGUCUUGGUCUGGUCAUUCAGCUCUGCUGCUUUGUUGAACAAUAUCCCAUCCUUGUCAAUGUGCUGCUCAGGAUGGGAGACUGUGGUGAAAUUAAGGUUCAACACAAUCUGCUGGCUUCUUUACAUUUAGACUUUGUGCUAUAUAAACUAAAUUCAAUUAAUGUGAAAUAUUUGAUAAAAGAAAUUAACGAUGUAAUUAUAAUUAGGUGUACAAAUAAAAAGGCAGGUUGAUCUUAACACUGACUCCAUGUAAUUUAUCACAGGGCAGUUGUGUCUAAAUGUGUCAGUAUUUUACAGCAAACAUAAAAAGUUAAGGCUGUACAGCUUUAUUAUGCACCAAAAACGUUGACAGACCUAAACACAGCACAUGGCUUGAAACUCUUAAUCAACUUGUCAGUAGACAGAUAUCUUUCAGUUUUUGUUAAAUUAUUCACACACAGGAAAUGUGGAUAAUUGUGGCAAUUUGUAUAACUUAACAUGUCUGAAAUGUUUAAUUCAAAUAGACAGUUGAGAUUAUGAUGAAAACUUAUAUGCUGAAUUAAAAUGCAUUUAAAAUAUCA
Austrofundulus limnaeus is the source of this 833-nucleotide long non-coding RNA. RefSeq lists it as uncharacterized. Lineage: Eukaryota; Metazoa; Chordata; Actinopteri; Cyprinodontiformes; Rivulidae. The transcript is spliced from 3 exons. The record is from RefSeq and is a predicted model, not a curated record.